AAGUCGUAACAAGGUUUCCGUAGGUGAACCUGCGGAAGGAUCAUUACAAAAUAGCUUUGGGGGCACGGUAUUAAGAUUUCUUGUACCUGCUCACAUAUGCCCACUCCCGAAAGGGAGCUGGACUAGCACACAUUGUGUGUUAAAUAGACUUUAAAUCAUGACUUAUUUAUUAUUAAAAUAACCAAAACUUUUAACAAUGGAUCUCUUGGCUCUU
This 214-nucleotide unclassified non-coding RNA is filed under the name fungal sp. Its description in RNAcentral is "partial internal transcribed spacer region". The stretch from base 1 to 46 matches the Rfam family "Eukaryotic small subunit ribosomal RNA", at positions 1786 to 1831 of the family's 1831-position model. Lineage: Eukaryota; Fungi. The record is from RNAcentral.